RNAcentral lists this ribosomal RNA (503 nucleotides) under uncultured bacterium. Its description in RNAcentral is "bacterial SSU rRNA". It matches the Rfam family "Bacterial small subunit ribosomal RNA", at positions 28 to 525 of the family's 1533-position model. The record is from RNAcentral.
GAUGAACGCUAGCGGCAGGCUUAAUACAUGCAAGUCGAGGGGCAGCGCGGGUAGCAAUACCUGGCGGCGACCGGCAAACGGGUGCGGAACACGUACGCAACCUUCCCGAAACUGGUGAAUAGCCCUCCGAAAGGAGGAUUAAUACACCGUAAGAUAACGAAGAGGCAUCUCUUUGUUAUUAUAGCUACGGCGGUUUUGGAUGGGCGUGCGCCUGAUUAGGUAGUUGGCGGGGUAACGGCCCACCAAGCCUACGAUCAGUAACUGGUGUGAGAGCACGACCAGUCACACGGGCACUGAGACACGGGCCCGACUCCUACGGGAGGCAGCAGUAAGGAAUAUUGGUCAAUGGAGGGAACUCUGAACCAGCCAUCCCGCGUGAAGGAUGAAGGGGCUCUGCCUUGUAAACUUCUUUUGCAUGGGACGAAAAACUUAAUUUAUUAAGGACUGACGGUACCAUGAGAAUAAGCACCGGCUAACUCCGUGCCAGCAGCCGCGGUAAGUGA